This 381-nucleotide ribosomal RNA is filed under the name uncultured eukaryote. Its description in RNAcentral is "partial 18S ribosomal RNA". It matches the Rfam family "Eukaryotic small subunit ribosomal RNA", at positions 592 to 976 of the family's 1831-position model. The record is from RNAcentral.
CAAUAGCGUAUAUUAAAGCUGUUGCGGUUAAAAAGCUCGUAGUUGGAUUUCUGUCAAGGACAACUGGUCCGCCCUCCGGGUGAGCACAUAGUUUGGUCUUGACAUCUUGCUGGAAGCUGUUGCUGCACUUGGCUGUGUGGCGCAGUGUUCAGCACUUUCACUUUGAGGAAAUUGGAGUGUUUCAAGCAGGCACAUGCCUUUGGACACAGCAGCAUGGAAUAAUUAGAUUGGGCUUUUGCUCCAAUUUGUCGGUUUCUGGAGCUGAGGUGAGUAUUAAUGGGGAUUGUUGGGGGCAUCCGAAUUUAGCCGUCAGAGGUGAAAUUCUUGGAUCUGCUAAAGACGGACAACUGCGAAAGCGUUUGCCCAGGAUGUUUUCAUUGA